This 436-nucleotide ribosomal RNA is filed under the name uncultured bacterium. Its description in RNAcentral is "partial 16S ribosomal RNA". It matches the Rfam family "Bacterial small subunit ribosomal RNA", at positions 29 to 507 of the family's 1533-position model. The record is from RNAcentral.
AACGAACGCUGGCGGCAUGCCUAACACAUGCAAGUCGAACGAUGGUCUUCGGAUCAUAGUGGCGCACGGGUGCGUAACGCGUGGGAAUCUGCCCUUGGGUUUGGAAUAACAGUUGGAAACGACUGCUAAUACCGGAUGAUGUCGAUAAGACCAAAGAUUUAUCGCCCGAGGAUGAGCCCGCGUCGGAUUAGCUAGUUGGUGGGGUAAAGGCCUACCAAGGCGACGAUCCGUAGCUGGUCUGAGAGGAUGAUCAGCCACACUGGGACUGAGACACGGCCCAGACUCCUACGGGAGGCAGCAGUGGGGAAUAUUGGUCAAUGGGCGCAAGCCUGAUCCAGCAAUGCCGCGUGAGUGAUGAAGGCCUUAGGGUUGUAAAGCUCUUUUACCCGGGAAGAUAAUGACUGUACCGGGAGAAUAAGCCCCGGCUAACUCCGUG